RNAcentral lists this ribosomal RNA (444 nucleotides) under uncultured bacterium. RNAcentral's name for it is "SSU rRNA". It matches the Rfam family "Bacterial small subunit ribosomal RNA", at positions 26 to 518 of the family's 1533-position model. The record is from RNAcentral.
AGAGCGAACGCUGGCGGCAGGCCUAAUACAUGCAAGUCGAACGGAUCCUUCGGGAUUAGUGGCGGACGGGUGAGUAACACGUGGGAACGUGCCCUUUGGUUCAGAACAACUCAGGGAAACUUGAGCUAAUACUGGAUAAGCCCUUCGGGGGAAAGAUUUAUCGCCAUUGGAGCGGCCCGCGUCUGAUUAGCUAGUUGGUAGGGUAAAGGCCUACCAAGGCUACGAUCAGUAGCUGGUCUGAGAGGAUGAUCAGCCACACUGGGACUGAGACACGGCCCAGACUCCUACGGGAGGCAGCAGUAGGGAAUCUUGCGCAAUGGGCGAAAGCCUGACGCAGCCAUGCCGCGUGAAUGAUGAAGGUCUUAGGAUUGUAAAAUUCUUUCAGCGGGACGAUAAUGACGGUACCCGCAGAAGAAGCCCGGCUAACUUCGUGCCAGCAGCCGC